This 253-nucleotide ribosomal RNA is filed under the name uncultured bacterium. Its description in RNAcentral is "partial 16S ribosomal RNA". It matches the Rfam family "Bacterial small subunit ribosomal RNA", at positions 524 to 776 of the family's 1533-position model. The record is from RNAcentral.
UACGUAGGGCGCAAGCGUUGUCCGGAAUUAUUGGGCGUAAAGAGCUCGUAGGCGGUUUGUCGCGUCUGUCGUGAAAGCUUGGGGCUUAACCCCAAGUCUGCGGUGGAUACGGGCAGACUAGAGGCAGGUAGGGGAGAACGGAAUUCCCGGUGUAGCGGUGAAAUGCGCAGAUAUCGGGAGGAACACCGGUGGCGAAGGCGGUUCUCUGGGCCUGUACUGACGCUGAGGAGCGAAAGCCAGGGGAGCAAACGGG